RNAcentral lists this ribosomal RNA (247 nucleotides) under uncultured bacterium. RNAcentral's name for it is "partial 16S ribosomal RNA". It matches the Rfam family "Bacterial small subunit ribosomal RNA", at positions 523 to 769 of the family's 1533-position model. The record is from RNAcentral.
AUACGUAGGUGGCAAGCGUUGUCCGGAUUUACUGGGUGUAAAGGGCGUGUAGCCGGGCCGACAAGUCAGAUGUGAAAUCCGCGGGCUUAACCCGCGAACUGCAUUUGAAACUGUUGGUCUUGAGUAUCGGAGAGGUAAUCGGAAUUCCUAGUGUAGCGGUGAAAUGCGUAGAUAUUAGGAAGAACACCAGUGGCGAAGGCGGCCUGCUGGGCUUUAACUGACGCUGAGGCUCGAAAGUGUGGGGAGC